RNAcentral lists this long non-coding RNA (340 nucleotides) under Brassica rapa (field mustard). RNAcentral's name for it is "long non-coding RNA (BRAP_LNC004722)". Lineage: Eukaryota; Viridiplantae; Streptophyta; Magnoliopsida; Brassicales; Brassicaceae. The record is from RNAcentral.
GCAUCACAUAAACUUACCAUUUCACAAAUUACAUGCAACAGAGUCUUAAAUUAUAACCAACACACACAUUUAUUCUAAAGCUUAACCGGAUAUUGAACCGAUUUUUUCACAUAGUUGGGUACGAAGCAUUCAUGGCAAGACCACAUUGUCCGUGUUUAGGCUUGAUAUCUUUUUUGAUCCUCAUGUAUCCACGUUCUCCCCAUUUUGGUCCCCAUGAAUUCUUGAGGAUCCAGUACUUUAAUCCGUUUUUAGAUCGGCCGUAUCCAACCGCAGUUACCCCGUGAUCAAGAUGAGUUGUGCAUUCUCCGCUGAACACACCGGACGAAUAGAAUUGGAAACC